GAUGAACGCUGGCGGCGUGCCUAAUACAUGCAAGUCGAGCGAACAGACAAGAAGUUGGCUCCUUUGACGAUAUCGGAGCACGGGAGAGUAACACAUAUGUCACCUACGUAUAAGACUGAUAUCACUUCGGGAAAACGGAUCUAAUACCGGAUAAUAUUACGAACCGCGUGGUUCGAUAGAGAAGGAUGGCUUUGUUAUCACUUAAAGAAGGACCUGCGCCUUAUUAACUAGGUGGGAAGGCAACGCCUUACCGAGGCAACGAUUCGUCGACCACCUGAGAGGAUGAUCCGCCACGCUGGAGAUGAGACACCGACAAUACUCCUACAGGAGGCAGCAGGAAGUAAUCUUCCGCGGUGGGAGAAAGCAUGAAGGAGCACCGCCGCGUGGAAGAUGAAUGUCUUCUCAUCGAACUACUCUGUUAUAAAGGAACAACAGACAUGUAGGUAACUGCGCACUGCUUGACGGUCCCUAAUCAGAAAGACACGGAUAACUACGUGCCAGCACCCGCGAUAAUACAUAUGUGGAAAGCGUUAUCCAGAAUUAGUGCGCGUAAAGCGCGCGUACGCGGAUAUUUAACUCAGAUGUGAAAGUGCACGGCUCAACCGUGACAGGGUCAUUGACAGCUGAAUAACUUGACUGCAGGAGAGGAGAGAGUACUUCCGUGUGUAGCGAUGAGCUGCGCAAAUAUAUGGAGCAACACCGGUGACGAAGGCGACUUUCUGGUCUGUAACUGACGCUGAUGUGCGAAAGCGUGGGGAUCAAACAGGAUUAGAUACCCUGGUAGUCCACGCCGUAAACAAUGAGUGCUAAGUGUUAAGGCGUUUCCGCCCCUUAGGGCUGCAGCUAACGCAUUAACCACUCCGCCUGGGGAGUACAACCGCAAGGUUGAAACUCAAAGGAAUUGACGGGGACCCGCACAAGCGGGGGAGCACAUGGUUUAAUUCGAAGCACCGCGAAAAACCUUACCAGAUCUUUGACAUCCUUUGACCCUUCUAGAGAUAGAAGUUUCCCCUUCGGAGGACAAAGACGACAGGUGGUGCAUGGUUGUCGUCAGCUCGUGUCGUGAGAUGUUGGGUUAAGUCCCGCAACGAGCGCAACCCUUAAGGUUAGUUGCCAUCAUUCAGUUGGGCACUCUAAGUAGACUGCCGGUGACAAACCGGAGGAAGGUGGGGAUGACGUCAAAUCAUCAUGCCCCUUAUGAUUUGGGCUACACACGUGCUACAAUGGACAAUACAAAGGGCAGCGAACCCGCGAGGUCAAGCAAAUCUCAUAAAGUCGUUCUCAGUUCGGAUUGUAGUCUGCAACUCGCCUACAUGAAGUUGGAAUCGCUAGUAAUCGUAGAUCAGCAUGCUGCGGUGAAUACGUUCCCGGGUCU
This 1375-nucleotide ribosomal RNA is filed under the name uncultured bacterium. RNAcentral's name for it is "partial 16S ribosomal RNA". It matches the Rfam family "Bacterial small subunit ribosomal RNA", at positions 28 to 1381 of the family's 1533-position model. The record is from RNAcentral.